Dreissena polymorpha is the source of this 273-nucleotide long non-coding RNA. RefSeq lists it as uncharacterized. The transcript is spliced from 3 exons. Lineage: Eukaryota; Metazoa; Mollusca; Bivalvia; Myida; Dreissenidae. The record is from RefSeq and is a predicted model, not a curated record.
UAAUCGUGAGUUUUUCAAUCAUAUCGCAAUGUGCUCAACGACACCUCCACAAUCUACUGUUAAGUCAGAUCAACAGCCGAAUCUGAAAACUGACUUACGUGAUAAUAUAUACGCCAAUGCUAAAGAUAUUGAAUCCGAUUACUAUGGUUUCAAUGCCUUUGCUACUGGUAUUCAACCUCACGAACUAUGGACGUACAUUCGUGACCAAAUCCAGAUUGAUGAGUUUCAGAAAUUACCUGCUGGUUUGGUUCGAAAGCACGACGUCGCAUCUGC